RNAcentral lists this ribosomal RNA (406 nucleotides) under uncultured bacterium. RNAcentral describes it as "partial 16S ribosomal RNA". It matches the Rfam family "Bacterial small subunit ribosomal RNA", at positions 29 to 526 of the family's 1533-position model. The record is from RNAcentral.
AUUGAACGCUGGCGGCAGGCCUAACACAUGCAAGUCGAACGAGUGGCGGACGGGUGAGUAAUGUCUGGGAAACUGCCUGAUGGAGGGGGAUAACUACUGGAAACGGUAGCUAAUACCGCAUACCAUCAGAUGUGCCCAGAUGGGAUUGGCUAGUUGGUGGGGUAACGGCUCACCAAGGCGACGAUCCCUAGCGGGUCUGAGAGGAGGACCAGCCACACUGGAACUGAGAAACGGCCAGGACUCCUACGGGAGGCAGCAGUGGGGAAUAUUGCACAAUGGGCGCAAGCCUGAGACAGCCAUGCCGCGUGUAUGAAGAGGGCCUUCGGGUUGUAAAGUACUUUCAGCGGGGAGGCGUUACCCGAAGAAGAAGCACCGGCUAACUCCGUGCCAGCCGCCGCGGUAAUUC